GUGCUCAGUCCAUCAGCACAAGUACUACCCUCAGAACAGCACAGAGACUAGUACGGCCCUGCACAAAGAUGACACGCAAAUUCGUGAAACAUUCCACAAGUUU
Molecule: small nuclear RNA, 103 nt
Organism: Zalophus californianus (California sea lion)
Lineage: Eukaryota; Metazoa; Chordata; Mammalia; Carnivora; Otariidae
Source: Ensembl